UACGUAGGGGGCAAGCGUUGUCCGGAAUCAUUGGGCGUAAAGGGCGCGUAGGCGGAUAAUUAAGUCCGGUGUGAAAGAUCAGGGCUCAACCCUGAGGGUGCACCGGAAACUGGUUAUCUUGAGGACAGGAGAGGAAAGUGGAAUUCCUAGUGUAGCGGUGAAAUGCGUAGAUAUUAGGAGGAACACCGGUGGCGAAGGCGACUUUCUGGACUGUAACUGACGCUGAGGCGCGAAAGCGUGGGGAG
Molecule: ribosomal RNA, 245 nt
Filed under: uncultured bacterium
Lineage: Bacteria
Description: partial 16S ribosomal RNA
Rfam family: Bacterial small subunit ribosomal RNA
Source: RNAcentral